CAGUAGCCACGGGAAUACGGAGGGAGCUAGCGUUGUUCGGAAUUACUGGGCGUAAAGCGCACGUAGGCGGUUAUUCAAGUCAGAGGUGAAAGCCCGGGGCUCAACCCCGGAACUGCCUUUGAUACUGUUUGUCUUGAGUUCGAGAGAGGUAAGUGGAACUGCGAGUGUAGAGGUGAAAUUCGUAGAUAUUCGCAAGAACACCAGUGGCGAAGGCGGCUUACUGGCUCGAAACUGACGCUGAGGCGCGAAAGCGUGGGGAGCGAACAGGAUUAGAUACCCGUGUAGUCCCUGUCUCUUAUAC
This 301-nucleotide ribosomal RNA is filed under the name uncultured bacterium. Its description in RNAcentral is "partial 16S ribosomal RNA". It matches the Rfam family "Bacterial small subunit ribosomal RNA", at positions 509 to 807 of the family's 1533-position model. The record is from RNAcentral.